This 253-nucleotide ribosomal RNA is filed under the name uncultured bacterium. RNAcentral describes it as "partial 16S ribosomal RNA". It matches the Rfam family "Bacterial small subunit ribosomal RNA", at positions 524 to 776 of the family's 1533-position model. The record is from RNAcentral.
UACGUAGGGGGCAAGCGUUGUCCGGAAUUAUUGGGCGUAAAGAGCUCGUAGGCGGUCUGUUACGUCCGCUGUGAAAACCCAGGGCUUAACCCUGGGCUUGCAGUGGAUACGGGCGGGCUAGAGUUCGGUAGGGGAGACUGGAAUUCCUGGUGUAGCGGUGAAAUGCGCAGAUAUCAGGAGGAACACCGGUGGCGAAGGCGGGUCUCUGGGCCGAUACUGACGCUGAGGAGCGAAAGCGUGGGGAGCGAACAGG